GACGAACGCUGGCGGCGUGCUUAACACAUGCAAGUCGAACGGAAAGGCCCUGCUUUUGUGGGGUGCUCGAGUGGCGAACGGGUGAGUAACACGUGAGUAACCUGCCCUUGACUUUGGGAUAACUUCAGGAAACUGGGGCUAAUACCGGAUAGGAGCUCCUGCUGCAUGGUGGGGGUUGGAAAGUUUCGGCGGUUGGGGAUGGACUCGCGGCUUAUCAGCUUGUUGGUGGGGUAGUGGCUUACCAAGGCUUUGACGGGUAGCCGGCCUGAGAGGGUGACCGGCCACAUUGGGACUGAGAUACGGCCCCGACUCCUACGGGAGGCAGCAGUGGGGAAUAUUGCACAAUGGGCGGAAGCCUGAUGCAGCAACGCCGCGUGCGGGAUGACGGCCUUCGGGUUGUAAACCGCUUUCGCCUGUGACGAAGCGUGAGUGACGGUAAUGGGUAAAGAAGCACCGGGUAACUACGUG
Molecule: ribosomal RNA, 468 nt
Filed under: uncultured bacterium
Lineage: Bacteria
Description: partial 16S ribosomal RNA
Rfam family: Bacterial small subunit ribosomal RNA
Source: RNAcentral